RNAcentral lists this ribosomal RNA (433 nucleotides) under uncultured bacterium. RNAcentral's name for it is "partial 16S ribosomal RNA". It matches the Rfam family "Bacterial small subunit ribosomal RNA", at positions 29 to 507 of the family's 1533-position model. The record is from RNAcentral.
AACGAACGCUGGCGGCAUGCCUAACACAUGCAAGUCGAACGAGACCUUCGGGUCUGGUGGCGCACGCGUGCGUAACGCGUGGGACCCUUCCCUUAGGUUCGGAAUACCUCCUCUACGUGGGUGCUAAUACCGGAUAAUGUCUUCGAACACAAGAUUUAUCGCCGUUGUAUGCGCCCGCGUUGGUUUAGCUUGUUGGGAUUGUAAAAGCCUACCAAGGCGACGCUACCUAGCUGGUCUGAGAGGCAGAGCAGCCACACUGGGACUGAGAAACGGUCCAGACUCCUGCAGGAUGGAGCAAGGGGUAAUAUUGGACAACGGGGGAAAUCCUGAACCAGCAAUGCCGCGUGAGUGAUGAAGUCCGUAGGGUUGUAAAGCUCGUUUACCCGGGAUGAUAAUGACGGUACCGGGAGAAUAAGCUCCGGCUAACUCCGUG